CUAGAACUGGUUCUUUCUCAACUCUCUCUCAAAGGGACACCUUCUUCAUCUGGCGUCUCAUCUCCAAACUCAAAAUCAAGUUGUCCUUCUGGGUUAUCAAUUUUAUUAUUGAGAGUGCUGAAGACCCUACCAGCCUUUCUUACUGUAUGGUCAUUACCCACAUUCUAAAAGCCCAUAAAAUUUAGCUUUCCGAUUAUUCAUUUCUUUCUGUGUCCAAAUGUUAUAAAGCCUUCUCUAUCAUGGGGUAUGUGAGUAUCAAUGGGGUCUGGGUCAAGAAGGGUGAAAGUGAUGCCAAGCCCUCUCCUACCGUGCUACCCUCUCCAUUCCCACAGACCUUAGUGAUGCUCUUUUGAAUCUCAACUCUCUGAUAUCAAGUCGACUGCGGAAGCCAUUCAUGCUAUUUCCAAGGAAACAGGGUUUGAUGUCUCUAAAAGCAGGGUGACUGUGCAAAGGGUAAAGGAAAAUGCAGUCAAGGCAGUCAAGGAGGUACAUGACAUGCUGGAUGGAAUGAGCGUUGCAGCCAACACCAGCUUUAUCUAGUUGAAAGAGGCCAUCUGCAAUACCCUUACUUACUUCUUGCGUUGUUAGAUGGCUG
This 595-nucleotide long non-coding RNA is filed under the name Nicotiana benthamiana. RNAcentral's name for it is "long non-coding RNA (NBEN_LNC006756)". Lineage: Eukaryota; Viridiplantae; Streptophyta; Magnoliopsida; Solanales; Solanaceae. The record is from RNAcentral.